UCUGGAUUAGUAUAUCGGCUAGUAUAACCGCCUCUCAAGCGAGUCCAAUUCGGACUACAAGGCCGCGGUAGAGCGGGGUUCGAUUCCCCGAUCCAGAA
This is a non-coding RNA of Saitozyma sp. JCM 24511, 98 nucleotides long. The record is from the annotation of a GenBank genome assembly. NCBI's taxonomy places the organism in Eukaryota, Fungi, Basidiomycota, Tremellomycetes, Tremellales, Trimorphomycetaceae.